RNAcentral lists this ribosomal RNA (253 nucleotides) under uncultured bacterium. Its description in RNAcentral is "partial 16S ribosomal RNA". It matches the Rfam family "Bacterial small subunit ribosomal RNA", at positions 524 to 776 of the family's 1533-position model. The record is from RNAcentral.
UACAGGGGGUGCAAACGUUGCUCGGAAUUAUUGGGCGUAAAGCGCGCGUAGGCGGCUACCUAAGUCGGAUGUGAAAGCCCCUGGCUUAACUGGGGAAGUGCACCCGAAACUGAGUAGCUAGAGUGCGAAAGAGGGUCGCGGAAUUCCCGGUGUAGAGGUGAAAUUCGUAGAUAUCGGGAGGAACACCGGUGGCGAAGGCGGCGACAUGGGUCAAGACUGACGCUCAUGCACGAAAGCGUGGGGAGCAAACAGG